CCUACGGGUGGCAGCAGUCGAGAAUCAUUCACAAUGGGGGAAACCCUGAUGGUGCGACGCCGCGUGGGGGAAUGAAGGUCUUCGGAUUGUAAACCCCUGUCAUGUGGGAGCAAAGUAAAAAGAUAGUACCACAAUAGGAAUAGACGGCUAACUAUGGGCCAGCAGCCGCGGGAAUACAGCGGUCUGAAGCGUUGUUCGGAAUUAGUGGGCUUAAAGCGUGCGGAGGCUGUUUUGUAAGUCGUGUGUGAAAGGUGCGGGCUCAACCCGCGGACGGCCCAUGAUACUGCGAGACUAGAGUUCGGGAGGGGGAUCCGGAAUGCUCGGUGUAGCAGUGAAAUGCGUAGAUAUCACGCGGAACACUCGUGGCGAAGGCAGGUUACUGGACAUUAACUGACGCUGAGGCACGAAGGCCAGGGGAGCGAAAGGGAUUAGAUACCCCAGUAGUC
This 446-nucleotide ribosomal RNA is filed under the name uncultured bacterium. RNAcentral describes it as "partial 16S ribosomal RNA". It matches the Rfam family "Bacterial small subunit ribosomal RNA", at positions 338 to 795 of the family's 1533-position model. The record is from RNAcentral.